This 117-nucleotide ribosomal RNA is filed under the name candidate division WS1 bacterium. The record is from RNAcentral. Lineage: Bacteria; Bacillati.
CCCGGUGACUGUAGCGGAGGGGCCACACCCGUUCCCAUUCCGAACACGGAAGUAAAGUCCUCCAGCGCCGAUGGUACUGCGGUGGCGACGCCGUGGGAGAGUAGGUCGUUGCCGGGA